GGUUGGGUCUUGCGCGGCGGAGACUUUUGAACCGUGUCAGGUCUUGACGGAAGCAGCACUAAGAAAGAACCUCCGGGUGCCGCAAGGUUGCCUGGCAAGA
Molecule: non-coding RNA, 100 nt
Organism: Desulfotomaculum sp. 46_80
Lineage: Bacteria; Bacillati; Bacillota; Clostridia; Eubacteriales; Desulfotomaculaceae
Source: Rfam